This 481-nucleotide ribosomal RNA is filed under the name Staphylococcus aureus. Its description in RNAcentral is "partial 23S ribosomal RNA". It matches the Rfam family "Bacterial large subunit ribosomal RNA", at positions 963 to 1449 of the family's 2925-position model. Lineage: Bacteria; Bacillati; Bacillota; Bacilli; Caryophanales; Staphylococcaceae. The record is from RNAcentral.
CCAAUUAAUUUAACUUGGGAGUCAGAACAUGGGUGAUAAGGUCCGUGUUCGAAAGGGAAACAGCCCAGACCACCAGCUAAGGUCCCAAAAUAUAUGUUAAGUGGAAAAGGAUGUGGCGUUGCCCAGACAACUAGGAUGUUGGCUUAGAAGCAGCCAUCAUUUAAAGAGUGCGUAAUAGCUCACUAGUCGAGUGACACUGCGCCGAAAAUGUACCGGGGCUAAACAUAUUACCGAAGCUGUGGAUUGUCCUUUGGACAAUGGUAGGAGAGCGUUCUAAGGGCGUUGAAGCAUGAUCGUAAGGACAUGUGGAGCGCUUAGAAGUGAGAAUGCCGGUGUGAGUAGCGAAAGACGGGUGAGAAUCCCGUCCACCGAUUGACUAAGGUUUCCAGAGGAAGGCUCGUCCGCUCUGGGUUAGUCGGGUCCUAAGCUGAGGCCGACAGGCGUAGGCGAUGGAUAACAGGUUGAUAUUCCUGUACCACCU